RNAcentral lists this ribosomal RNA (1776 nucleotides) under Triticum aestivum (bread wheat). RNAcentral's name for it is "partial small subunit ribosomal RNA". Lineage: Eukaryota; Viridiplantae; Streptophyta; Magnoliopsida; Poales; Poaceae. The record is from RNAcentral.
AUGCUGGGCGUCCUGCUGCUCCUCCUCCUGCUCAUGCCGCUGCCGGCGACUGCAACGGCACAGCUCUGUGGCAGCGGCGGCAGCUACGUAGCCAACGGCACCUACGAGUCCAACCUCGCCGCCCUCGCCUCCACCCUCCCCGCCAACGCCUCAUCCUCCCCGCAGCUCUUCGCUGCCGCCACUGCCGGCCAAUCCCCAGACGCAGUGCACGCGCUCGCGCUCUGCCGGGGCGACUUCGCCAACGACACCGCAUGCAGGGACUGCGUCGCCGCCUCCUUCCAGCACGCGCAGUGGACAUGCCCCAGCGACAAGGCCGCCACCGUCUACUACGAGUACGACAACGACCAGAGACCAGGCUGCGUGCUCGGCUUCUCCGGCGACGAUGGCUUCCUCAACCCAGCGGCCAAUCUCACCGGGAACGGCACUCUCUUCCAGGCGUGGAACACGGGGAACAUCUCCGGCGUCGCCAGUGUCAUCGCCGCCGGCGUCCACGAGCUGCUGACCGCCACGUCCGAGGACGCAGCCGCCAACGUGACGAGGCGGUACGCCACCGUGGUCAUGGAUUCUGCCCCGACGCUCUACUCUCUAGCGCAGUGCACGCCGGACCUGUCCGCCGGCGACUGCCAGGCGUGCCUCCAGCGGCUCAUCGGCAUGGUCAACGCCACCACGUCUGUGCGCCUGGGAGGACGGAUCUUCGUGCUGCGUUGCAACGUCAGGUUCGAGACUUUCAUGUUCUUCGAUCAUCCCAUGCGGCGGAUCAGUCCAUCGUCCAACGCUCCGGCUCCUCCCACAGGUCAUGGAACGCAGCCUUGGGUAAUUGCUAUAUCUGUAGCUGCUCCACUAGCACUGGUUGCUUUCUGCGUCACUGUCUACUGUCGUCGCCUCAGAGGAAGAAAGAACAAAAAUGGUGCAAAGAUACUACGAGAAAAACGUAGUUACAAGUUGCAAGAAGGAGAUCAAGAACUAGUAUGGGAUAUGGAAGCAGGAUUAUCCGGCUUCACAGUUUAUGAUUUUCACGAGAUAUUGGAAGCUACAAGUAACUUUUCCGAAGAAAAUAAACUUGGAGAAGGAGGAUUUGGCCCUGUAUAUAAGGGUCAUUUUCUUCAAGGAUUGGAGAUAGCAGUCAAGAGACUUGCUUCACAUUCAGGACAAGGUGUCUUAGAGUUCAAAAAUGAAGUUCAGCUCAUAGCCAAACUUCAACAUAGAAAUUUGGUUAGACUCUUGGGAUGUUGCUCCCAAGGAGAGGAAAAAAUAUUGGUCUAUGAAUACUUGCCAAACAAAAGUUUGGACUUCUACAUAUUUGAUGAAUGUAGAAAAGCUUUAUUGGAUUGGAACAAACGUCUUGCAAUAAUUGAAGGAAUAGCAGAAGGACUUCUUUACCUACAUAAGCACUCUCGUUUGCGUGUGAUACAUCGAGAUCUUAAACCAAGCAACAUUCUCUUGGACGAUGAAAUGAAUCCUAAAAUUUCAGAUUUUGGCCUAGCAAAAAUAUUUAGCUCAAAUAACACGGAAGAAGACACCACAAGAAGAGUGGUUGGUACUUAUGGUUACAUGGCUCCGGAGUAUGCCUCCGAGGGCCUAUUCUCCAUCAAAUCCGAUGUAUUCAGCUUUGGUGUCUUAAUUCUUGAGAUCCUUAGUGGGAAAAGGAAUUCUGGUAGCCAUCAAUGUGGAGGUUUCAUCAACCUCCUCGGAUAUUCUUGGCAGUUAUGGGAUGAGGGAAACUGGAUUGAUAUUGUUGAUGCGUCAUUGACUCCCAAGUCUCCCCAGCAGAAAUGA